This 72-nucleotide transfer RNA is filed under the name Camelus bactrianus (Bactrian camel). It matches the Rfam family "tRNA". From Rfam's summary of the family: Transfer RNA (tRNA) molecules are approximately 80 nucleotides in length. Their secondary structure includes four short double-helical elements and three loops (D, anti-codon, and T loops). The record is from Rfam by way of RNAcentral. Lineage: Eukaryota; Metazoa; Chordata; Mammalia; Artiodactyla; Camelidae. RNAcentral also lists the same sequence under 2 other names.
GAGGGUAUAGCUCAGUGGUAGAGUGCAUGCUUAGCAUGCACAAGGUCCUGGGUUCAGUCCCCAGUACCUCCA